AUGAACGCUGGCGGCGUGCCUAAUACAUGCAAGUCGAGCGAACAGACGAGGAGCUUGCUCCUCUGACGUUAGCGGCGGACGGGUGAGUAACACGUGGAUAACCUACCUAUAAGACUGGGAUAACUUCGGGAAACCGGAGCUAAUACCGGAUAAUAUAUUGAACCGCAUGGUUCAAUAGUGAAAGACGGUUUUGCUGUCACUUAUAGAUGGAUCCGCGCCGCAUUAGCUAGUUGGUAAGGUAACGGCUUACCAAGGCAACGAUGCGUAGCCGACCUGAGAGGGUGAGCGGCCACACGGGAACUGAGACACGGUCCAGACUCCUACGGGAGGCAGCAGUAGGGAAUCUUCCGCAAUGGGCGAAAGCCUGACGGAGCAACGCCGCGUGAGUGAUGAAGGUCUUCGGAUCGUAAAACUCUGUUAUUAGGGAAGAACAAAUGUGUAAGUAACUAUGCACGUCUUGACGGUACCUAAUCAGAAAGCCACGGCUAACUACGUG
RNAcentral lists this ribosomal RNA (496 nucleotides) under uncultured bacterium. RNAcentral describes it as "partial 16S ribosomal RNA". It matches the Rfam family "Bacterial small subunit ribosomal RNA", at positions 29 to 507 of the family's 1533-position model. The record is from RNAcentral.